ACACAAAGUUCCCAAAUUUCCCAAAAUUGUAACCCCAAUUCGUCCCUUCUAAAAUCCCAAAAUUCCCAAAAUAGUAAACCCUAAUUCCUCCCUCCUGAAAUCGAGUUGUUCCCUUUCUUUCCUCCCUCCCUCCUGAAAUCGAGCAGCUCAAUUUCCCCUCUCUGAUCAUUCUCUUCCUCAGAAUCUUUCGCCCCCUCAAAUUCCUUUCCUGUGUCUGUAUCUUGUUGAUUCGAAUGAACUACGACUACAGAACCAGUGCGCAGCAUCCGUCAUACCGGCCGUCGCCGGUGUACGGAAACUCCUUCACGCCAAACGGCCAAGGCGCCUCGGCGGGCCGUCCCACUCCUUCAAGCCAAACGGCUCCUCUUCCUCCUCUCUCUUCCUCCUCUAUUGUCUCCCCAAGUGGCAGAUAUUCCACGAAGCAGUUUCCAGUUUAAUUUCGAUUUUGAGAGAAAAAUUCUCGCCGAAGCAGAGAAGGAAAGCCAGAACUGGAGCAAGAUCGCACCUGAAAAUGUUCCAUCAAGAGCUUCACGAUCAUGUCCUUCCCCGGUAUGUAAUUCUUCCCAAAGAAGUUUGCUUUUUUACUGUUGCCUUGGGAGGUCACAUAUUCAAUUUACUGAAUGAGACUCGAUACCUCUUAUUUAAACAUAAUGAAAUCAGUGGGAGAAUGAUAGUAUGGUGUAUGAACAGCUUCUACUAUUGUUCCUGAGAAAAUCCUUGAUCAAAGUGUGUUAUAAGUGAACUGAUAUACAUUAUACACAUGAAAGAUGUUAUACUUGGUAAGCAUUUAUUGUAUCUUGAUUGUGAUGCAUGUGGUCUUAUCGCUUGUUUAUCCGUA
Non-coding RNA from Punica granatum (pomegranate), 838 nucleotides. The record is from RefSeq and is a predicted model, not a curated record. Lineage: Eukaryota; Viridiplantae; Streptophyta; Magnoliopsida; Myrtales; Lythraceae.